UCCAAGGAUUUGAAGCCCUCCCAUCUGAAGUCAGCUCUUCCUCAGAAUUUUUAAUGAUGCAUGCUUUAUUCAAAAACCUUAACUUGUCGCUUGGCAAGGCACACAGUGAUCCGUUUUCAUGGUGGUACAUUUCAGAUGUGCCGAAAGAUGGUAUUUGCAUAUGCCUCUUCUUAUAAGCAGCAACAACAACUUGCACAAGCCCAACACACCAACUUCUGCUCGGCAUCGACUUCAAAUAUAAGGGUGAGGCCGAGAGAAAAGUUAUCAUAGAUAAUAACAUUAGUGCAACCGGGACUCCAAAG
Molecule: unclassified non-coding RNA, 302 nt
Filed under: Hevea brasiliensis (rubber tree)
Lineage: Eukaryota; Viridiplantae; Streptophyta; Magnoliopsida; Malpighiales; Euphorbiaceae
Source: RNAcentral